GGUAGAAUAGUUGACUAACAACAUUAAAUUGCAGAUUUGAAAGUAUACAUAUAAUAGUAUUUCUACUU
Molecule: transfer RNA, 68 nt
Filed under: Drawida japonica
Lineage: Eukaryota; Metazoa; Annelida; Clitellata; Moniligastrida; Moniligastridae
Description: tRNA-Cys
Source: RNAcentral